RNAcentral lists this ribosomal RNA (849 nucleotides) under Triticum aestivum (bread wheat). RNAcentral's name for it is "partial small subunit ribosomal RNA". Lineage: Eukaryota; Viridiplantae; Streptophyta; Magnoliopsida; Poales; Poaceae. The record is from RNAcentral.
AUGUUCUGGUUUGACCGAUGGGCGGGUCACGCCCCCUUCGUGGCCCGCUUUCCCGACCUCUUCUCUAUCGCUGUCGUCCCUACGAUCUCAGUUCAACAUGCCCUUAUUGAUUUAGGGUGCCUCGCGUUCCGGAGGCCAUUUGGGCCCCCGGAAGUGGCCGCCCAACCUGAGCUUCUUGAUUGUAUUGCUCUCCAUGAGCCGACUGUCGAUGCUGGCCCGGAUGAGGUUCGGUGGUGCCUUGAGCCUUCGGGUCAAUUCUCCACCAAGUCCCUUGACGCGGCUAUCACCCCGUCCUCCGCCCCGCCCCCUCUCCAGACGGUGUGGUCCAUUCGCCUGCCCCUUAAAAUCCGAAUCUUCAUGUGGCAAUGGAUCCGCGGACGGCUCCCGUCUGGAGUUGAGGUCCGCAAGCGCAAUGGGCCGGGCUCUGGUCUUUGCCCUCUCUGUAAUACCCCCGAAGACUCGAACCACAUAUUCUUCUCUUGCGUGUCUGCUCAGUUCGUGUGGAGCUGCUUUAGAGAGGCGGUUGAUGGGGAUUGGUACCACUCCAACUUCCCCGACCUCUUUGCCGAACUUCAGGCCUCCCCGCUGACCACUCGCCACAUUAGGUGGCUUGAGAUUGGGGUCCUCGCGUGGACGCUCUGGACGAUUCGCAAUAAGCUUGUGAUCCAGCGCUCCCCUCUUCGAUGGUCUACUGACGCUCUCUUCAAACUGUCUGGUUACUUGCAGCUCUGGUGGCUGCUUAGCCGCCCGCGGGACCGGGACGCCAUCUCCGCCUUCAUCGCCGACCUCCACUCGAUGGCCGUCCGCCUGUCGCCUACACCACCGCCGCCUCCACCUGAGCCUGAUUAG